This is a ribosomal RNA of Pan troglodytes (chimpanzee), 136 nucleotides long. Lineage: Eukaryota; Metazoa; Chordata; Mammalia; Primates; Hominidae. The record is from Ensembl.
GUCUACGGCCAUACCACCCUGAAUGCCCCCGAUCUUCUCUGAUCUCAGAAGCUAAGCAGGGUUGGGCCUGGUUAGUACUUGGUAUGGGAGAAAGCAUUAGACAUCAAUCUUGUAAGAAUUUAAAGUUCAAUAGAUU